UACAGAGGUGCCAAGCGUUGUUCGGAUUUACUGGGCGUAAAGGGUGCGUAGGCGGUUGCGUAAGUCGGGCGUGAAAUACCGGGGCCUAACCCCGGAACGGCGUUCGAAACUGCGCGACUAGAGGUCUGGAGAGGUGACUGGAAUUCUCGGUGUAGCAGUGAAAUGCGUAGAUAUCGAGAGGAACGCCAGAGGCGAAAGCGAGUCACUGGACAGAACCUGACGCUGAGGCACGAAAGCCAGGGGAGCAAACGGG
Molecule: ribosomal RNA, 253 nt
Filed under: uncultured bacterium
Lineage: Bacteria
Description: partial 16S ribosomal RNA
Rfam family: Bacterial small subunit ribosomal RNA
Source: RNAcentral